UCGCCUGUUUAUCAAAAACAUAGCCUUAGGUAGAGAUCUAAGGUAAGUCCUGCCCGGUGAUAAUUUAACGGCCGCAGUACCCUGACUGUGCUAAGGUAGCGUAAUCAGUUGACUUUUAAAUGGAGUCGAGAAUGAAUGGGUUAUUGGGGGUUAGCUGUCUCAACUUUAUUUAUUUGAAUUUGUUUUUAGGGUGAAAAUACCCUAGGAAAGAAAAAAGACGAGAAGACCCUUAGAGUCUUAAUAAAUAAGUUUCUAGUUACUAAUUAUUUUUGUUGGGGCGACAACGAGGCAUAAGAUAAACCCUCGGAAUUUUUUUCUUACAGGACGACUAUAGUAAGGAAGACAAGACUACCUUAGGGAUAACAGCAUAAUCUUUAUUAAGUUUGUGACCUCGAUGUUGGACUAGGAACCUUAUGACUAGCCGUCACAGGGGUAAGUUCUGUUCGAACUUUUUCUCCUACGUGAUCUGAGUUCAGACCGGNNNA
This 485-nucleotide ribosomal RNA is filed under the name Blauneria quadrasi. RNAcentral's name for it is "partial 16S ribosomal RNA". It matches the Rfam family "Bacterial large subunit ribosomal RNA", at positions 1796 to 2623 of the family's 2925-position model. Lineage: Eukaryota; Metazoa; Mollusca; Gastropoda; Ellobiida; Ellobiidae. The record is from RNAcentral.